AAUAUUGGACAAUGGGGGAAACCCUGAUCCAGCCAUGCCGCGUGAGUGAUGAAGGCCUUCGGGUUGUAAAACUCUUUCGCGCACGACGAUAAUGACGGUAGUGCGAGAAGAAGCUCCGGCUAACUUCGUGCCAGCAGCCGCGGUAAUACGAAGGGGGCUAGCGUUGUUCGGAAUUACUGGGCGUAAAGCGCGCGCAGGCGGCUAUCCAAGUCAGUGGUGAAAGCCCGGAGCUUAACUCCGGAACUGCCAUUGAAACUGUUUAGCUGGAGUAUGAGAGAGGUGAGUGGAAUUCCCAGUGUAGAGGUGAAAUUCGUAGAUAUUGGGAAGAACACCGGUGGCGAAGGCGGCUCACUGGCUCAUUACUGACGCUCAGGCGCGACAGCGUGGGGAUCAAAC
This 396-nucleotide ribosomal RNA is filed under the name uncultured bacterium. RNAcentral describes it as "bacterial SSU rRNA". It matches the Rfam family "Bacterial small subunit ribosomal RNA", at positions 360 to 773 of the family's 1533-position model. The record is from RNAcentral.